AUUUGUAGCCAUCCUCCCCAACUCAUCCCCUGGCCACCGCUGGCCCAGAAAUGACUUCUCUGAAGGAAUGCAAUGGCUGCUUUUACAGGCCCACGUGACUGGAUGGUGAGGUGCAGGUAUUUGGGUGAACAUUGCUGGUGGCACCUGGGAGGGCGUUUCCAGAUGACAUUAACAUGUGAUCGGUGGGAAAGCAUUUGCCUCCCCGGUGUGGGGGUCUGUGAGGGGCCUGGAAAGAGCAGCAGAUGGGAGGAUGGGGCCCUCCAGCCUGGCUGUGGGCUGCAGGAGCCAGAACGCCCACCUGCUGGCCUCGGCGCUCCCAGCCCCCAGGCCUGAGGACCCAGAGGGAAUCACCCCACCAGCUCUGCUGCCUGCAGACGGCAGGUCCUGGGACUUCUUGGCCCCUGUACGGCUCAUAAUAAAUAUUUCCUCACGAUGAAUUCCUCAUAGUAAACACACAGAAACCUGGACAUUAGGAGGGAACAGCUGAGCAACCCGACAUGAGGCGGAGGUCCUGGCACAGGAACACCUGGGGCUGGCCCUGAGGUUGGGGAAGGGAGCCAUGGCAUACAGGCCCAAGGAGUGGCCCUCUCAGGUAGGGCCGGGAGGCCAGGGCUCUGGGUGUUGCUCUGAACACAGUAGGAAGUCAUCACAGGGUUCCCAGCCCCACCGCACGCUGCCUGCGUCCUGGGAGCCUGGUGCCCCUGCCCCUGGGAUGACAGCAGGCCUUCCCCCUGGCUGCCAAAGCUGACUUUGGAAAAGCAAGGCGUUCUAAAACUACCUCCCCAAGGGCGGAGGGCUGCACACAGAGCACGUGGCUCCUUGCCUCAUCAUCCAGGCCCCACAGCACCCCGAGGUUUACAUGUCGCCAUGAGGAGGCAGAGCAGCGAGGGGACAGGGGCCUCACCUGGAGGGGCCCUCGGGAGUCCUGUGGCAUUGGAACUUGGAAGCCACAGAGCUGCCCUCCGGCCAGGCGAAUAGACAGGAGCUGUGGUCCAUCCAGACGAGGGAGGGUUACUCUGCGCUAACACGAAUGAGCUGGAGAGACACGGAGGAACUCAAAUGCCUAUCACCCAGCGAGAAAAGCCCAUCUGAAAACAGUAUGUCCUGUAUGACUCCAACCCUGACAUUCUGGAAGAGGCGACACUGGAGACAGAAAAGGGUGUGUGGUUAUCCGGGGCUGGGGAGGUGGGAGGGUGGGCGGAGCACAGGGGGUGUUUAGGGUCGUGGCACUACUCUGUGUGACAUUGUAACGCUGCGUUACACGUGCCCAAACCGUGGAAUGCCCAACAUGGAGAGCAACCCCUAAGGUGACCCGUGGGCUCCAGACUGUAGCGAUGUCAGUGCGGGCCCAUCGGGUUAACCGAUGUGCCGCCUGGUGCGGAUGCUGACAGUGGGGGGGCUGCACACAGGGGGGACGCCGAGGGAAAUCUCGGUACCUUGCACUCUUCGGCUGUGAACCCAGAACUGCCCUAAAGAAUAA
This is a long non-coding RNA of Manis pentadactyla (Chinese pangolin), 1480 nucleotides long. RefSeq lists it as uncharacterized. NCBI's taxonomy places the organism in Eukaryota, Metazoa, Chordata, Mammalia, Pholidota, Manidae. The record is from RefSeq and is a predicted model, not a curated record. The transcript is spliced from 3 exons.